CCAACCACCACAAACCUCGGAAGUAAAAGUCGUAACAAGGUAUUUCCGUAUGUACCUGCGGACAAGGAAGGAUCAUUAUUUAGUUCCCGGUCUCUCCAGGUGC
This 103-nucleotide ribosomal RNA is filed under the name Capronia americana. RNAcentral describes it as "Phialophora americana partial 18S ribosomal RNA". The record is from RNAcentral. Lineage: Eukaryota; Fungi; Ascomycota; Eurotiomycetes; Chaetothyriales; Herpotrichiellaceae.